This 477-nucleotide ribosomal RNA is filed under the name uncultured Acidobacteriota bacterium. RNAcentral's name for it is "bacterial SSU rRNA". It matches the Rfam family "Bacterial small subunit ribosomal RNA", at positions 224 to 704 of the family's 1533-position model. The record is from RNAcentral. Lineage: Bacteria; Pseudomonadati; Acidobacteriota.
GAGGAGCCCGCGCACGAUUAGCUAGUUGGUAGGGUAACGGCCUACCAAGGCUUUGAUCGUUAGCUGAUCUGAGGGGAUGGCCAGCCACACUGGAACUGAGACACGGUCCAGACUCCUACGGGAGGCAGCAGUGGGGAAUCUUGCACAAUGGGCGAAAGCCUGAUGCAGCGACGCCGCGUGGGGGAUGAAGCAUUUCGGUGUGUAAACCCCUUUCGACCCGGACGAAUGCCUCGCAAGAGGAGUGACGGUACGGGUAUAAGAAGCCCCGGCUAACUACGUGCCAGCAGCCGCGGUAAGACGUAGGGGGCCAGCGUUGUUCGGAAUUACUGGGUGUAAAGGGUUCGUAGGCGGUGUGGCAAGUUGGGAGUGAAAUCUCUGGGCUCAACCCAGAGGCUGCUUCCAAAACUGCUGUGCUUGAGUGUGGGAGAGGCGCGUGGAAUUGCAGGUGUAGCGGUGAAAUGCGUAGAUAUCUGCAGG